This 236-nucleotide long non-coding RNA is filed under the name Mytilus galloprovincialis (Mediterranean mussel). The record is from RNAcentral. Lineage: Eukaryota; Metazoa; Mollusca; Bivalvia; Mytilida; Mytilidae.
CUCCCAAACGUGUCCGAUUCUCCCAAACGUGUCUUUUCUCCCUAAACGUGUCCGAAAUGUACAAUAUUUUCCAAACGUGUCCGAUAAUUGUUAUUCGCCAAAACGUGUCCAAUAUUUAACGCCAAAACGUUACACGUCUUUUAGCGCUUUUACAUGUAUCUCUUAAAUAAAAUCGCUGAUAACGUUUACGGCAAUUCUAUGAUGGGAGAUACACGUGAUGAAGAUGUCAUUUAUCA